This 252-nucleotide ribosomal RNA is filed under the name uncultured bacterium. RNAcentral describes it as "partial 16S ribosomal RNA". It matches the Rfam family "Bacterial small subunit ribosomal RNA", at positions 524 to 776 of the family's 1533-position model. The record is from RNAcentral.
UACGUAGGGUGCAAGCGUUAAUCGGAAUGACUGGGCGUAAAGGGUGCGCAGGCGGCCUGUUAAGACAGAGGUGAAAGCCCGGGGCUAACCCCGGGAGGCGGGCGGAUACUGUCGGGCUAGAGUCCGGAAGAGGCGAGUGGAAUUCCCGGUGUAGCGGUGAAAUGCGCAGAUAUCGGGAGGAACACCAAUGGCGAAGGCAGCUCGCUGGGACGGUACUGACGCUGAGACGCGAAAGCGUGGGGAGCAAACAGG